UACGUAGGGAGCAAGCGUUGUCCGGAAUCAUUGGGCGUAAAGCGCGCGUAGGUGGCUUCGUAAGUCCGUUGUGAAAGUCAAAGGCUCAACCUUUGAAAGCCGAUGGAUACUGUGAAGCUAGAGUACGGAAGAGGCGAGUGGAAUUCCUGGUGUAGCGGUGAAAUGCGCAGAUAUCGGGAGGAACACCAAUGGCGAAGGCAGCUUGCUGGGACGGUACUGACGCUGAGACGCGAAAGCGUGGGGAGCAAACAGG
This 253-nucleotide ribosomal RNA is filed under the name uncultured bacterium. Its description in RNAcentral is "partial 16S ribosomal RNA". It matches the Rfam family "Bacterial small subunit ribosomal RNA", at positions 524 to 776 of the family's 1533-position model. The record is from RNAcentral.